AACGAAAAGCUUUGACAUUAAGGAAAUGAAUGUACCAGAGGAGAAGCCUAACAAAGUUGUUGAUGAAGAAAAGAAAAUACCUGAAGAGAAGCCUGACAAAGUUGUUAAUGAAGAAAAGAAAAUACAUGAAGAAAAGCCUAAGAAAGCUGUUAAUGAAGUGAAGAAGUUACAAGAAGAUAAGCCUAGCAAAGUUGUCAAUGAAGUGAAGAAACUUAGCCAAUUUCAUAACAGAACUGCACCACUUUCUUCAACUCUGAAUAAGCUGCCACCCCCAGUUGUAAAGCGUUCUACUUCAGUUUACACAACUCCUACAAAAACC
This 319-nucleotide long non-coding RNA is filed under the name Theobroma cacao (cacao). Its description in RNAcentral is "long non-coding RNA (TCAC_LNC005075)". Lineage: Eukaryota; Viridiplantae; Streptophyta; Magnoliopsida; Malvales; Malvaceae. The record is from RNAcentral.